RNAcentral lists this transfer RNA (86 nucleotides) under Desulfovibrio sp. Its description in RNAcentral is "tRNA-Leu". It matches the Rfam family "tRNA". Rfam says of the family: Transfer RNA (tRNA) molecules are approximately 80 nucleotides in length. Their secondary structure includes four short double-helical elements and three loops (D, anti-codon, and T loops). The record is from RNAcentral. Lineage: Bacteria; Pseudomonadati; Thermodesulfobacteriota; Desulfovibrionia; Desulfovibrionales; Desulfovibrionaceae. RNAcentral also lists the same sequence under 3 other names.
GCCCGGAUGGUGGAAUGGUAGACACAAGGGACUUAAAAUCCCUGGGCCGCGAGGCUGUGCGGGUUCAAGUCCCGCUCCGGGUACCA